Non-coding RNA from Salmo salar (Atlantic salmon), 54 nucleotides. Lineage: Eukaryota; Metazoa; Chordata; Actinopteri; Salmoniformes; Salmonidae. The record is from Rfam.
UUCAUGCAUGAUUGUAAGUCGCUUUGGAUAAACGUGUCUGCUAAAUGUUAUAUA